UUCUUGGACGAAUCUGGACAGGGAAGCAAGGAGAAAUAAUAUGGUCCAAAAUUGGACCAUAUAACAUUUUUACAGCCGACCUCCAGAGCCUGGCCCCCGGGAAGGAGCUGGAGAGUGAGAUUACACUAACAUAUCCGAUCUGUAAAAGGCCAUGUAUCCAAAAGAAGGACGGGCCGUUUUUAUUGUCCCCUUCGGUGCCACCCCCGCUAAAAUUCAGAAAUGCAAAGAUUCAACGAGGUUUGUCUUCAGGGCUUUCAUGCGGAAAAAAAAUGGGGAAUCUGUCACGGUGGCUGUGCGCCACAAUUCCCCAUCCCCGCCAGCAAGACCUUACCUCCUGUGGCGUUAUUGUUUGCAAAGUAAGAUUAUGAACACAAUAACAAUUAUACAUCUAUUAAAAGGACCA
This 403-nucleotide long non-coding RNA is filed under the name Gadus morhua (Atlantic cod). Its description in RNAcentral is "lncRNA (ENSGMOG00000033408.1)". Lineage: Eukaryota; Metazoa; Chordata; Actinopteri; Gadiformes; Gadidae. The record is from RNAcentral.